This 82-nucleotide microRNA precursor is filed under the name Tursiops truncatus (common bottlenose dolphin). RNAcentral describes it as "miRNA (ENSTTRG00000023343.1)". It matches the Rfam family "mir-17 microRNA precursor family". From Rfam's summary of the family: This family represents the microRNA (miRNA) precursor mir-17, family, which includes mir-20, mir-91, and mir-103. miRNAs are transcribed as ~70nt precursors (modelled here) and subsequently processed by the Dicer enzyme to give a ~22nt product. In this case the mature sequence comes from the 3' arm of the precursor. The record is from RNAcentral. Lineage: Eukaryota; Metazoa; Chordata; Mammalia; Artiodactyla; Delphinidae.
CCUGCCGGGGCUAAAGUGCUGACAGUGCAGAUAGCGGUCCUCUCCGUGCUACCGCACUGUGGGUACUUGCUGCUCCAGCAGG